CCUACGGGCGGCUGCAGUCGAGAAUCAUUCACAAUGGGGGAAACCCUGAUGGUGCGACGCCGCGUGGGGGAAUGAAGGUCUUCGGAUUGUAAACCCCUGUCAUGUGGGAGCAAAUUAAAAAGAUCGUACCACAAGAGGAAGAGACGGCUAACUCUGUGCCAGCAGCCGCGGUAAUACAGAGGUCUCAAGCGUUGUUCGGAAUCACUGGGCGUAAAGCGUGCGUAGGCUGUUUCGUAAGUCGUGUGUGAAAGGCGCGGGCUCAACCCGCGGACGGCACAUGAUACUGCGAGACUAGAGUAAGGGAGGGGGAACCGGAAUUCUCGGUGUAGCAGUGAAAUGCGUAGAUAUCGAGAGGAACACUCGUGGCGAAGGCGGGUUCCUGGACAUUAACUGACGCUGAGGCACGAAGGCCAGGGGAGCGAAAGGGAUUAGAUACCCGGGUAGUC
Molecule: ribosomal RNA, 446 nt
Filed under: uncultured bacterium
Lineage: Bacteria
Description: partial 16S ribosomal RNA
Rfam family: Bacterial small subunit ribosomal RNA
Source: RNAcentral